AUGUGUGGUUGCCAUAGCAACUGCCAUGCAAGGCGUUCGGGGGGUGCUUCGCCCCUUCUGAGGGCACAGAGCAGCGCGGGGUGGGGUGGAGGCAAAGCCCCGCACGGUGCUGAGAAGCCAUGGGAAGGGUUUGGGGAGGUGGUGGCGUCCUUCUGGGAUUUGGGGGUGCCUGGGGAGCCACCAGCAGAGACCCCAGGGACACUGCCCAAGGGAUGGGGACCCCUGAGUCCCCCACGAACCACAGGACUCAUUCUGCUACCGGAGGAGAUGCAGGAGGGAAGAGCUCGGGGAUCCAAGGAGCAUCCCAGUGAUUCCCUCCCUUGUGCUGACUGCAAAGACCCCGAUUUCCAGGGCUGCCCCGCACCCCCGUGCUUGGGCUGGAGCUGGGGGACCCCAGGGACAGGCUGUGCCCUGGUGGUGAUGCUCUCCCACCCGUGCAGAGCUGCUGGUCCAUUCCUCCAGCCUGGCACAGCCCGGUGCCCAGCGGUGCCCAGCCUCCCACACUGCUCCUUUCCCAUUGCUCAUUUUGACAAACGCUUUAGGAAAACAAAUUCCCCAUUCUGCUUCUCCCCCCUUUGUCUUUCCUGCACCCUCCCUCACCCCACAGCAUCCCACCGGGUGCCCAGAACCACCCCUGUCCCCCUGGGUGCCGCUGGUGUGCCCACAGCAGCCCAGCCCCGCUCCUGUCCCCGUCACGCCACACGUGCUGUGACAGCAAGCUGUCACCCAGCACCACCAGGCUCUCUGCCAUCGCCACGCCGAGCGAUUGAGCUGAAGUGUUGGCUGUUGGCAGAGCAGGGGAAGUUGCUGCUCUCAUCAUCCUCCCUGGGAAAUGCAGCCCUCGGUGGCCCCACGCUGGGUCCCCCCCACGCCGGCGGCGUGCUGCAGCUGCACAUGGCUGGCGGAAAUGUCACCCACUUUGUCUUUAAUUCACAAACACCGCCUCCCCCCUGGGAUAUGGCUUUUUUUUCUUUUUCUUUUUUUUUUUUUUUUUUCUUUCCCCUUUUGGUUUAUUCACAGGCUCAGAUCUCUUCCGAGCGCGCACUGGUGGCUCAUCGCCUCUUCGUCAUCCCUGCCUGCUGCGGAGGUGGGGGAGCCGCACCGGGGGGCAACCCUGGGGCAGCCGGGGGAUUUUAG
RNAcentral lists this long non-coding RNA (1137 nucleotides) under Anas platyrhynchos platyrhynchos (common mallard). RNAcentral describes it as "lncRNA (ENSAPLG00000027393.1)". Lineage: Eukaryota; Metazoa; Chordata; Aves; Anseriformes; Anatidae. The record is from RNAcentral.